UAUAUAUAUUAUAUUAGUAUUAGUAUUGCUGUUAUUAAUAUCAAAGAGGUAGGGAAUUCCAGAAUGCCAUCACUCUGGGCUGGUGGGAAGGAGCUCCCGUCAAGCUGUAAGAAGUCCUAGGAGUGAACACUAAGGGAAUGCUCUUUGGUUUUGGGUUCACACUGGUGACCGUGGACAUCUUCACCGUGCAAGAUGACAUGGGCCCUGAAGGACUCUCAUCCCAAGCUCUUUACGUAUAGGCUUUUGAUGAAUGUUGUUUAUAUUUUCACUUAUUAGUUAUAAUUAAAACAAAAAUAACAUGCAACAAAUGUAAAAAUAACAUCUAGAAUUCCAUGAAAAUGGUGUUUCAUGAAUGUGGUUUGAGGGUCCGUCAUUGUCCUACCUACUACUGCAUGUUACUUUCUUGUAUCUUAUGUCUCUAAGUGAGGCUGGUUCCAGUCACCUCUGGAAGCGUUUUGGUUAAAUCCAGUGGGUGAACGUAAUGGAGCCACGUCCCCAGUUCUCCCACCUCAUGCCCACUUCGUGUGGCAUUUUCUCUGGUCUAUCAUUUCAGGGUUAAGCACUUCCCAGCUUAAAUAUCUAUGACCUCCAUAUGAUUCUAGCAAGUAGAAGAAGAAUUUAGGGGAAACACAACCCUGCACCUGAGAAAACGCACCCUGUCUCCUGCUGUUGCCUUUUUUGGGGGCCUCUCCUCCAUUCUACAUUCUUUGUCUUCCUAGGCAUCCCAACCCGCUCAGAGACUUUGUUGGGUUUGGCUCUGAUGUUUGUUCUGACAUUUCUUGGAAUUGCUGGCCGAGAGCCCCUUUGGUUGGCUAGAGACAUUAAGGUGUAAUGAAAUAUUUAAAUAUCCUGAGGCAGGAUAGGAUUAAAAUAAUCUCUAAGAGCAGGGGUUUGUGUAUUUUUUCUAUUAAGGGACACAGAGGAAUAUUUUCAUCUUGGCAGACCGUAUAGUUUGUCUCUACUCAGCCUGCAGCUGUAGGGAGAAAGCAGCCACAGACAAGACAUACACAGCACAUGUGGCCAGUCUUGCCUCACUGGCUCUAACUUGCCAGCCCCAUGUAAGUUAAAUAAAUGCAUCCAAAUGCAUUGUGAUCUUUUCAAAUGUGCUCCGUCCAAACAUCCAAAUGGCUGAUAGCCUGCUUCAUUUCUGAUUCAAGUCUCAGUUAUUUAUUUGCAAAGAACAACAAAUAGCCAUGUCUUCAGUUUAUUAAUAUUCCUAACUAAUCAUCUGAAGGCUGGAUAAAUGAGACUUACUAGAAAACGAAUGAAAUGAAAGUCACUGUUAAGCCUAACUAGAUGUGUAGUUUGGGCUAAGUUGCAAUACUACUCAAGACCCCAAUUUUCUGUUUCUUUUUUACCUGUAGGAUUAGGCGGUUUGGUCUCUUAUUUCUUUAAAAAAAGUAUUGUUUGGGCGUUUCUCCUUGUUUGGGGGUUUCUUGGCAGCAUGAGAGCAGAGUAGGCACUGUGGCAGCCAGUCACUGCAGGACAGCCAUUGAGAAAGUUUUCUUACCCUCUUUAAGUUUAGUUGCAAGGAGUGCAGCCAGAACUGUAACCAAAAAAAAGCAUUUGCUUCCAGAAAAAUCUCAAAGAAAGUAUUGUAGGCAACAGUAGUAGCUGUUGAUCGGGCUCUAAAGGAAAAUGUGGAGAGAUUCAACCAAUUAGCCUGAAAGUUGGGAGAUAAAGUUCUUCUCCCAGGAUAUGGAGGCCUCAAAAUAGUAUUUAGAGAUGGUGACAUUCUCGGAAAAUAUGUAGACUGAAAUAAAUCACUAUUGAAAUGGCAUCACAUGAAGCUAUCCAUUCCACUGAUGUUCUGAAACCUUUCCUGUAAAUAAUUUCCAUGUCUCUUUUUCAUAAACUAAUGAUAUCUAAGAAUGUAAUAAUAAUUCAUUGUUUACUUUUUUUACAAAAAUAAUUCAUGUUGAUCAUAGCAUGUUUGGAAAACUGAGUUAAGCAGAAAGACAAAAACAAGCAUCUCCACAAUUCCACCACAAGACAUAACACUUAAUAUUUUGGAACACAUCCUUUGAGUUUACCAAUUUAGCUAUUCUAUUUAGUUUCCUACCUAUCCUUUAAGUAAUAAAAAUGGGAUUAUAAUAAAGAGCUUUGUGAUCUCAAGUUUUCACUUAAUGUAACAUGAGCGUUUUUCCAUGUUAUUAAAUCUUUUUCUAUAUUUAUUAGCUCAGUUCUAUUAUGUGGAUAUACCACGAUUCAUUUAACCAGCACGCCCUUUUGCUAGAUUUCUUAAGCUUUUUUAUUUCCAUAAACUACUGUAAUGAAAGUUUCUUACAGAAAGCUUUGCGCACAUGCGAGAAGUAUUUCCUUUUUUUUCAGCUCGAAAACUUUUUCCUACGUUCAGCAGUCAUUCCAUGUUCGACCAGUAGGGGGCAUUUUAGGCUUUCUCAGAAUAACUAAGAAGGGAGCGCUUUGCUUCACACAAAGACCUAGAGUCUCUGCGGAAGAUGGCAGUGGGUAGUGACGAGCAGGAAAGGGAACUCAAUGCUGAAAAUACGGACCUCUGGAGGAAAGACCAGACAGCUCCAUGAUCUACAGUUCCUCUAGAAAUACAGAUUUGGCUGUAACACUAAAUGGAAUCUUGCCUAGACCAUUACUUAUAUAUCACCGACUAGCCAGGUUUUGGUAGAUGAUACUACAUAAAUUUUGUUAGAAGCUGAAAUAAUUGUUUUAUGGGCAUUUUCCUUGAUUUUUACCAAGACCAUAAAUUCCUAAAGGCAGUCCUCUGCCUGUACUUUCUGGCACACCACCCAACUAUACCCAGCAAAUUACUAAGUAAGUACAAGGGAGGUACUUAAACAGUUGCAAUCAAUGCUAAUGGUAAGCUUCUAUUCUAGUAUAAAGAUUAUCGAGAUGCAGGGUAGUGGUUAAGGUGUUGGCUCCGCAGCCAGGGUGCCUAUGUUUGAAUCCUGACUGUCACUAGCUGUACUCCUUGCUUUACCCCCAAGCCAAUGUUUGUAAAAUGGAGGUCAUCAUAGUACAUACUUCAGAUGGUAAUUGUGAGAAUUAAAUUAUUUUAAACAUAUAAAAUGGUUAGCGCAGGGCCUGGACCAUAGCAAGUUCUUGAUUAAAUAUUACUAGAUGGAUUACUUGAUUAAGGGAUUACUGAGGGUUCUUUUUUUUUCCUCUCAUUUUUAAAUUCAAUGAUUUUCAUGGCUGAUGCUCUCUCCAAGCUCUUCCUGUGGCCUCCAAGGACACCAGCCUCUCUCUGGCCUUGUGGGUUCACUUGCUGUGGCCAAUGGCUAGGCUGGCUCCGGGAAGUUCUCGGAUAGUCAGAGGGCAUAUGUCUACCUGGUCCCUUCUUGUUACCUCCUUUUAAAUUUUACUCCAACCAUCUUUCAUCUGGUUAACAGGAGCGCCAUUUGAUUUCACCAAAUCACAACAUCUCAUAGACGAUCAUCUUCAUACAUGUGAUUGAGGAGGUCAACAGGAAACAAACACUUUUCUUCAUAGGGUGUAAAAGAAAUGUGCUUGGGCCAGAAAGAAAGCAAGCUUUGUGAAAGAAGGAAUGUCAGCACGGAUGGAAAUAGCAAAGCAUCUGUUUCUUCAGGCCAGUUACGCUGUAGUUUCCUUUUUCCCCCCAGUCAGCCAUUUUGUGCCGUGGUUCUCUGCCCUUUUCCCAUGCAUGCCCACCGGUAACACCAGAAUCUCUAGGGUGGGCAGGUGUAGGGAAUACAAAUCCAGUCUCCUUUGGGGCCAGUCCUGGAGACAGGCUACGUUAUGGUUUAAAAAAA
This is a long non-coding RNA of Mustela erminea (ermine), 3746 nucleotides long. RefSeq lists it as uncharacterized. Lineage: Eukaryota; Metazoa; Chordata; Mammalia; Carnivora; Mustelidae. The transcript is spliced from 2 exons. The record is from RefSeq and is a predicted model, not a curated record.